RNAcentral lists this ribosomal RNA (1417 nucleotides) under Enteromonadidae sp. PYX. It matches the Rfam family "Eukaryotic small subunit ribosomal RNA". Lineage: Eukaryota; Fornicata; Diplomonadida; Hexamitidae. The record is from RNAcentral.
CGUCAAAGAUUAAAACAUGCAUAUCUGUAUAAACUUUUACGGUGAAACAAUGAACGGCACAUUUAAUCAGUUGUAAUGUAUAGUACUUUAUUCCAGUAGGUUAAUACGGGCAAAUCUCUUACUAAUCUUGCUUUGUUAUAUUGAACUGUGAAUAGUUUUAUAAAAAUGAUCGUUUGACAGGUACUUUCAGCUUCUGAUGCAUCAUCUAGAUGGAAAAAUAUAGGUUAUCCAUAGAAAUGACGCACACGGGUUAUUAGGGUAAGACUCCGGUGAGUAGGCAUUAGAGACGGCCUACAUGUUUAUGGACUGCAGCAGUUGCGCAAAUUGCCCAAUGUACAUAUGUACGAGGCAGUGACGAAAAAUCUGAAAGUCCUUUUAGGACUAUUUAGCUGACGGCUAUACAAAACAUAGCCAAAAUGCAAUUAGUGGGAGAGCAUGGUGCCAGCAGCCGCGGUAAUUCCAUCACUGAUAGCUUUUUCUUACAUUGCUGCAGUUAAAAAGCUCGUAGCCUGAAAUAUUAUCACUUUGAGAAAAUUGGAGCGUUCAUAGCAGAUUCGUUACACAGUUCAGCAAAGUAUGAUAUGUUUUACGAUUUAUAUGUAGCAAAGGAAUAUCUUGUACUGAUUCGGGAAAGGUGAAAUAUGAUGAUCGAGUCAAGACAAACAACAGCGAAGGCAGGAUAUAAUUUGCUUACAGUUGGUCAAGAGCUAAAGUAUGGGGAUAGAAGAUGAUUAGAAACCGUUGUAUUCUAUACUAUAAACGAUUCUGUCUCAGUAGUAGCAUUUAUAUGUUACCACUCAAGGGAAACCGGAAGGUUUUGAGUUCUGGGGGGAGUAUGUUUGCAAGAAUGAAACUUGAAGGUAUUGACGGAAAGAAGCCACAAGACGUGGAUUCUGCGGCUCAAUUUGAUUCAACACGAUAACCUUACCAGACCCAGAUAUUAAAUGGAGCAACAGAUUGAAAGUUCUUUUGCGAUAUGAUAGUUGGUGGUGCAUGGCCGCUCCUAGUUCGUGGUUUGAAUCGUCUGCCUUAUCGCGUUAACGAGCAAGAUCAACGUCUAUAUUUAGCUUAUAGAGAUUUCCAACGAUGAGUUGGGUGAAAGAGUUGGCUCUAGCAGGUCUGUAAUGCCCUUAGAAACUCUGGGCUGCACGCGUAAUAUAAUGAUUAUGACAAAAGGAUAUCUGCAAAGUAGAAAUGCUGAGCGGUACCUUAAACAUAAUCGUGGUUAGGAUUGAGGUUUGUAAUUCACCUCAUGAAUGAAGAAUGUCUUGUAUAUAUGUUUUAUUAGAGCAUGUAGAAUACACCUCCUUUUUUUGUAUACACCGCCCGUCGCAAAAACCGAUGAGUGUUUUAGUGAGUUUUUAGGAGAUAGAUCGCAAGAUUAAUCGAAUUUGCACGAACUAGAAGGCUUAGAGGA